Paramuricea clavata is the source of this 270-nucleotide non-coding RNA. NCBI's taxonomy places the organism in Eukaryota, Metazoa, Cnidaria, Anthozoa, Malacalcyonacea, Plexauridae. The record is from the annotation of a GenBank genome assembly.
GAAUUCGUCUCCUCGCGGUUAUGGUGGAAAUAAAAAAUCGUACGCCUGGUAUGUUGUGCAACAAUUCGUCUUCUUUGAUAAUAGGAAAGCCGCAAAUUGAUAGAAAUUCAACUGUCUGAAAGUUUUUUCACGAACAGUUGAAUCUCUAUCAAUUCACGGCUUUCCCAUUAUCGUCGCUACCUGAACCUGGCAUAGACUUUUUGUUUUGAUUUCUAUAUUCUAUUUUGUCCUAGCUCGGCAGCAAUCUGAUCUGUAGUUAUUGUCAAUCCG